CUUUCUCUCUCUCUUUCAAUGAUGGGGAGCAAACCCAGGGCUGUGUGCCCUAUCACUGAGUCACACCUAUGCUCCUACCUAUUUCUUUUUACUUAGUGUGUAUGUGUCUAUUAGACAAAAACACCGAAGCAGCUUACAUUAUAUUUCUUCUGGAGAGUGCUGCCUGCAGGAAGUUCCAACAACUUAGAGGCGAUGAUUCAAACCUCCCAAGUGUGGAGUUAUCCUAAAUAUCUUAAAAUAAUGCAUGUCUGUCUGGGUUUUGGCCACUUCCACGGAAGGUCAUUCCAUACUUUUUCUGGAUUUGUAAUUUAAGUAUUUCUUUUUGCUUUAAAUAUUGCUUUUCUUUUUUUUCCCUCAGAAAAGCUUCUUGCUUCAACCUAAGCCUUUUCCUUUAGCCAAAGAAUCUUAUUUCUGAGGGUCACCUGUAUAUGGGUUUGGGCAGUGCUUGGAGCCAAAAAAAAAAAAAAGACAUGGGAAAAUAAACUCAUGACUUGGGGAGACCUUCAUUGACAGGACAUUUUAAAAAAUCAUAUUGAAUGGAGUAGAUUUAUAUGUACAGGCAAUAACACAUCUCUAGAUGUAUUAUUCAGUGCAAAAGGCAAGUUUCAGAAUAAGCUAGGGGCCCCAUUUAUAUUUUUAAAACAUAUACAUAGCUAGGGCACUGUGGCAUAUGUUGUAAUCCCAGCAACUCAGGAAGGUGAGGCAGGAGGAUCAAAAGUUCAAGGCCAGCCUCAGUAAUUUAAUGAGAUACCCCACCCCCAUCAUCUCCAAAAAAGGAAGAAAGAAAGACCAAACACACACAGAGAAAACACAUAGGCAUAUACCUAAAAUCUCUCCUUGUAUUUCUCAGGGAUAGAGAUAUCUGUCUGCAUGUGUAUACACAAAGGUCAU
Molecule: long non-coding RNA, 891 nt
Filed under: Marmota monax (woodchuck)
Lineage: Eukaryota; Metazoa; Chordata; Mammalia; Rodentia; Sciuridae
Source: RNAcentral